UAUUUCUUUCCCUAUUCACAUAAAAUGAGUAAAACCCUAUUAAACUAAAGCCAUCCCAAUUUGUCUCCCCCUUUCUUCAUCACAUCCGAAACCCAAAAUCCUCGAAAUGACCAGGAUUCAAUUGCUGACCGAACUCAGACAUAAUCUGUUGCUGCUGCGGCGCCUGAACAGGACUCCCGUGUUGGCCAGUCCAGUCCAUGUUAGACCCAGGCAUAGCCAAAGUAGCAUCAACCGUAGUUAUAUCAUGGAUGCUCGACCUUUUCCUCUCCUUCUUCACCGAGUUCUGUCUCAGAAAAUACUUCUGAGCGUGACUCGCGACUUGCGUCGGUGUCCUCGUCACCACAACGUUUCUCGAGAUACUCCUCCAAUCUCCCUUACCAUAUCUCUUUAAUCCGAUCAGAAACAAUCUGCAUCAAUAAAAUUCAUAUCAAACAAUGUAAUUAAAUCACCUAAAUUUAGCAAAAUUGCAUUUAAUUCCUAAAUUCUCAAACCAACCAAAACCCUAAUUUUUUUGAAAUGAUUGAUAAAGAAACAUACUUGUGUUCGUUCUCUGUCCAAGG
Molecule: long non-coding RNA, 560 nt
Organism: Arabidopsis thaliana (thale cress)
Lineage: Eukaryota; Viridiplantae; Streptophyta; Magnoliopsida; Brassicales; Brassicaceae
Product: other RNA
Exons: 1
Source: RefSeq